UGUCUUCUUUCUUUUCCAAAUUUUUCUCUUAUGCCAAAUACUAGAUGUGUGCAAUGUAUGUUCGGCGGACGACAAGCACAAAUCUUUCUGGUUUUCUCUUCAUUUGCCUCACAUCCGUGCGCUUCUGGUCUCUUCCCAUCCAUCUCUCUACAACUCACUCGGCAUUCGAGGUUGCCGCCGUACGGAAUGAAGGAUGUGGAGACUUCUGAUGGUGGUCAUUCUCCCGUCUGAUGGCCGUGCCGUGCCCCGGUGGUACCGAUAUGUCGGUCCUCCAGAUCUUCGUGGACAACUGCUCCGGCUUCUACAUCAAGAACAUGGCCGCUCCGCUGCUCGAGAUCGUGGAUUCGUCCGCAACUCCGUGUUCAGGUACGAAUUUUUCGUUCUCAUCUUCUUCAACCUUGCUUGGGGCGACAUCUUCUCAGAUUGCUGGGUGACCAGCGGCGUGGUGCUGGACAAGGCCAUUGUCGCACAGUUCUGUACUGUGGUGGCGUUUUCUCAAGCACCAGGCCAGAGAAAUGGAUAUGUCGGUAUAUGACACAUGUGCAAGACCAGCCUUACUACCUUGAACAUGUUUGAUGGAAUGUACCACAAGUGGUAAGGCUCAGAUUUUUUGGUUGCUCCUUUUCUCUAUUUUUUUAACUCCUCAUCUCUAGAUUGGAUUUGUGACACACGAGUGUACCCUGAAGCUGCUGAGAUGAAUGCGAUAGAUGUUCUCUGAAUUAUUCUUGGGAUCUAUUUUUAUAUAGAGAUCCUAGGUACUUUGUCCAUGUACAAAUGGUGAUUUAUCAGAAUUCGUGGACAUUAUAAAUAUAGACUUUUAGUCACAUCGGAGGUUUCAUUUUUUGGGCUAUUUAGGGACUACAUGUCACAAGGUGAUUGUUUAAUGUAGCAUGGAUUCAAAUAUGUCUUCCCAUGAUUUGCAGAGUACAAAAUUAGGCUCAUAUAGGUAGUUAUAACCUCUGAAAAUUUGAACCUGAAUUUACACUAUAUUUAUGUACCUCUGAAGUAAGAAGUAAAUUGACAUGAAAAGAUUCUGAUGCUCUAGACAUUAUAAUACAAUUCCAAUGCAACAUUGUAAUAGGGUUCCACUUCAUCGCCCAAGCGUAAGUAUUCAAUGGCAAGUACUAUUACUUGAAAUAUUCAGCAAGAGUUGUCAUUGAUUUCCAACCUUCAAGAACAGGAGGCAAUCCUGGAGCAGUAAAUUGAACAAAUUGAGAGUGUUGAUUCGGCUAGAAUAAUCCUAAUCAAAGAUCUAAACGAAGCUCUUAGCGAACAGGGCCUUUGCACCUCUUUUAGCAUCUUCGGAAUGUUCUAUCAUGAAUGCUUAUUAUCUAGCCCACAAGUAAAAGUUUUUGUUUUGUUUUAUUUAUUUGUAACUGAGAAUAAAGUCAGAAGGGGAAGUUUGUUUGGUUAAAUACAUGAUUGUGUUAUGCCAUACGUGGUCCUUUUUUCAUAACCUCUUACAUGUUAUCGUCCUUUUUUCAUACUGUCAUGAACUUGUGAUCUUUCCUAGAAAAUCUCAUGCAAGGUCGUUAUUUUCUCUGAUGCUUUUUUCUGUUAUUGCCCAGCUAGAAGGGGAAGUUUGUCAGGUUAGAUACAUGAUUGUGUUGUGCACUUUAUUGGUGUCAUCUGCGUCCUCAUUAUGGUCCGAGCCAUUUCUCCGUCUUGUGGUGAUCUUGGCACCAUUCUAACUUAAUGCUGCCUAAGAGCCCCAUAAAAGUGGGCAUAGCAAGAGUUUUGCUGUGUCAAUUACCUGCUUUUUUUACCAACUUACACACGGAAAAAUCCCCUACUUCCCUAGGUUUUUUUUCUUUCUAUUUAUAUAAGUACAGCGUAGAAGAAGGCAUUAUUUGGUAUGCUUAAGUCUGGUACUUCAGUAUUAAAGGAUUAUUACAAAUCUCCUAACGAGGUUGGUCGAUGUGAAAUUCACUUUACAUUUCCUCUUAGUGAAUUCAAAUAGGACAAGUAGGCAGUAGGAGCAACCAAGUGUAUUAAGUUAGUCGACUUCAAUGUGUAGCAUCAUGGGCCAUUUCAAUAAGAAGAUGGAGAGCUUUUGACACUUACUUUAACUGCAUUGGCUUGACAUGUUGCCUUGAUCCAGGUUAGUGGGAUGCCAGUCAUACAAGUAAGCUUUGUCUCUGAGACAAGUGGAUCAUAGCUUCCCUGAGCUUUUCCUCAUGCUGAUCAUUUAAUUAAUUAUUGCAUUGUACCAUCUGUGGUAUGCAAACUAAAAGCUAAAGCAGUUAUAGGGGAGUAAUCUAUGAUUUAUGUUUGUAUUUUGUAGUUUCAGUGCCUUCCUCUAUGGUUCUUCAUACUCAGAUGCUUUGCCUCUUUAGUCCUGGCACCACUUAUUUGUUUUGAAGCACAUUGUGACGUAUUCAGAUGCCGUGCAGAUUGUUGUCAUGAAAUGAGUGGGUUUUCUGUUUAGCAUUUCUUCAUGUUUAGCUGAUUGGAAUGCUCGUGACUAGCAUGCUUCAGGUUUGUUCCCCGCAGCUGGGCCUUGAUGGUGGUGAUGCUUAUAUAAGAAGGUUGUUGCAGGCCCUAUGCUCGCUUAUUAUGUAUCAUCGUCAGGGAGUCUUUUGAGGUUUCUACUCGGCUAAAUAUACAAAUUAAAGUUGGAUCAUUUAGCUAGCCUCAUCGAUAGCGGUAUCCACUUCACUCUAUUGUUUCAUGAUACAUUUCGCACUCAGAAUCCGGGUCAUUGGGUUUGCUAUGUAUCUGCGGCUUAUACUGAAACUUCUUGUGAUAAUGAUGGUUGGUGCGUGCACGUAUCAGUGCUGCAUGUUGGUAGCUAGCUCUGGAACACACAUAUAUUGUAUCAGUGGUUAAUGCUCGAAGCCUUACGCUAGCUCAAUGGUAUUCUGCAUUGACAGCCUUUUAUAAUAGGGUUCCACUUCAUCGCCUGAGCGGCUGUGUUGCCUUCUCUGGCGCCGCAUCGGCGUCGUGGGCUGGAGGACGUUACUUCUGUGUUGGCUGUUUCCUCCAGCGGGGUCAGUUUUUCUGUGGUUGCGCGUGAGUGUGACUGCCGGACUGCUUCUUUGCCUGUUGCCCGUGGCCGUGGCUUCUUUGCCUAUUGCUCAUCCGGUGUCUCCCCCUAUUGCACAGUCUGUGCUUCGCUUUUCCUUGGAUGGGUUUGUACCCGUUUCUUCGCCUCUUGAAGCUGAUGUGUGGAGGAGACCGGAGAUUUGGUUGGACAAGCGGCCCGUCCAUCCUAUACCUAUAACAAUAUCAUUGACAGUAAUAGAGGUGGCAGUAUUUCAGUUCCCCUUGCUCCUGCUGGUUCAUCAUUGCCACAAUUGUUUGGACCUGGUUCUUCAGAUCUUGGUGCCUUUCAAAUCCUGGUUUCUUUGGUGUGUACUUCUUUUCAGGGGCUGUCCUGUAAUGUGAAGAAGUGCCAUUAGUAUGUAUAUUAAGGUUUAGAAAAUGAAUGGGUUUUGCGUUUCU
Lolium rigidum is the source of this 3444-nucleotide long non-coding RNA. RefSeq lists it as uncharacterized. The record is from RefSeq and is a predicted model, not a curated record. Lineage: Eukaryota; Viridiplantae; Streptophyta; Magnoliopsida; Poales; Poaceae. The transcript has 4 exons.